CGGAAACAUGGUGUAAUCGGCAGCAUUGCGGUCUCCAAAACCGCCGGUCCCGGUUCGAAUCCGGGUGUUUCAG
Molecule: transfer RNA, 73 nt
Filed under: Lachnospiraceae bacterium
Lineage: Bacteria; Bacillati; Bacillota; Clostridia; Lachnospirales; Lachnospiraceae
Description: tRNA-Trp
Rfam family: tRNA
About the family: Transfer RNA (tRNA) molecules are approximately 80 nucleotides in length. Their secondary structure includes four short double-helical elements and three loops (D, anti-codon, and T loops).
Source: RNAcentral